GUGCUGAGAAUGCGAUGAAAACUCCUUCAUCAAAAGCUAAGCUCUACAGCAUUAAAAUUAUAUAACAUCAGUUUGUUCAGAUCUUUUGUCUCGAUAACACCUUAAUAUAUAUACUUAAAUCGGCGGGUCAGCUGCUUCUGUGAUUUUUCUUAAAUUCCAAUAUGAAUGUACGUUUUCUAAGCCGCAUGACUGGUGCCGCGACUCGCAUGGCCUCCAGCAUAAAGUGCCGCGUUAGCAAUCCCAGACAUAUUAUUCAGUGUCGCGAGAUGAGCAGGAAGAAGGAUGACAGUUAUAGAGAAAGAUGUACUGACGAUGGACAGUUCUUCAAAGGCUGCUUUAAGAAGGAACCGAAGAAAAAGUGUCCUGAGGUAAGGGACAAGGAUAGACAUGGCUGCAAGAAUCCAUGCAAGGACGGACCUUGUAGGCAAUCUAAAUAGAAUAUUGGAAAGAAUCGAGUCACAAAUGAUGCGAAUGGCCUGCUGAAAUACACUUGAAUAUAUCUAGUACAAAUUCUCAGUUCACAUAUGCAGUAUAAUGUGUUUAACUGCCUCAAUAGUAAAGUGCACAUUAAAUACAGCUGCCCAAUUAUAAUUAUUUUAUGCCAACAAAUUCGAGCUUCUAUCAAAAAUAUUUUCACACCAACAAAAGGUUUUCAUACCUUUAAAAUACUAGGAAAAUAUAAAUUGAAUUGCACAUUGGGACAUUUGCCCUUUUUAACUGUGAAAGGCGAGGCAGUUAAACACAUUAUACUGUAUAUGCAAAUUAUCAUCUAAAAUAAAUUUAUUACCACUCUCAUUGACAUGAUAA
Drosophila montana is the source of this 807-nucleotide long non-coding RNA. RefSeq lists it as uncharacterized. NCBI's taxonomy places the organism in Eukaryota, Metazoa, Arthropoda, Insecta, Diptera, Drosophilidae. The record is from RefSeq and is a predicted model, not a curated record. The transcript is spliced from 2 exons.